CAGUAGCCACGGGAAUACAGAGGGUGCGAGCGUUAAUCGGAUUUACUGGGCGUAAAGCGUGCGUAGGCGGCUAAUUGAGUCGGAUGUGAAAUCCCCGAGCUUAACUUGGGAACUGCAUUUGUGACUGGCGAGCUAGAGUAUGGCAGAGGGGGGUAGAAUUCCACGUGUAGCAGUGAAAUGCGUAGAGAUGUGGAGGAAUACCGAUGGCGAAGGCAGCCCCCUGGGCCAAUACUGACGCUCAUGCACGAAAGCGUGGGGAGCAAACAGGAUUAGAUACCCCGGUAGUCCCUGUCUCUUAUAC
This 301-nucleotide ribosomal RNA is filed under the name uncultured bacterium. RNAcentral's name for it is "partial 16S ribosomal RNA". It matches the Rfam family "Bacterial small subunit ribosomal RNA", at positions 509 to 807 of the family's 1533-position model. The record is from RNAcentral.